Molecule: ribosomal RNA, 510 nt
Filed under: uncultured bacterium
Lineage: Bacteria
Description: bacterial SSU rRNA
Rfam family: Bacterial small subunit ribosomal RNA
Source: RNAcentral
GACGAACGCUGGCGGCGUGGAUUAGGCAUGCAAGUCGAACGGUAUCAUCCUUUCGGGGGUGAGAGAGUGGCGAACUGGUGAGUAACACGUAGGUUAUCUACCCUCAAGACGGGGACAACCCAGGGAAACUUGGGCUAAUACCGGAUGUGAGCAACUUUUUAGUUGUUUGAAAGGUGGCGUAAGCUGUCGCUUGGGGAUGAGCCUGCGUCCUAUUAGUUAGUUGGUGAGGUAACGGCUCACCUAGGCAAUGAUAGGUAGGCGGCCUUAACGGGCGGUCGCCCACACUGGGAUUGAGAUACGGCCCAGACUCCUACGGGAGGCAGCAGUCGAGAAUAGUCUACAAUGGUCGGAAGACUGAUAGUGCGACGCCGCGUGAACGAUGAAUCCCUUCGGGGUGUAAAGUUCUUUUCUAUACGAGCAGUGCUAUAUAUAUGGAUAGUAUAUAUAGAGGGAUAGUAGUAUAGGAAUAAGCAACGGCUAACUCCGUGCCAGCAGCCGCGGUAAUCUCGU